AGAUUGAACGCUGGCGGAAUGCUUUACACAUGCAAGUCGAACGGCAGCACGGGGGCAACCCUGGUGGCGAGUGGCGAACGGGUGAGUAAUACAUCGGAACGUGCCCAGUCGUGGGGGAUAACUACGCGAAAGCGUAGCUAAUACCGCAUACGAACUCUGGUUGAAAGCGGGGGAUCGCAAGACCUCGCGCGAUUGGAGCGGCCGAUGGCAGAUUAGGUAGUUGGUGGGGUAAAGGCUCACCAAGCCGACGAUCUGUAGCUGGUCUGAGAGGACGACCAGCCACACUGGGACUGGAGACACGGCCCAGACCUCCGUACGGGAGGCAGCGAGUGGGGUAAUUUGGAACAUGGGCGCAAGCCUGACUCCGAGCCAUUCCGCGUGCGAGGAUGGAACGGUCCCGUCGGGUUACGUAAACGUCGUCUUUUUACGGUAACCGGUAACCGAAACCGUCCGGACGUU
RNAcentral lists this ribosomal RNA (459 nucleotides) under uncultured soil bacterium. Its description in RNAcentral is "bacterial SSU rRNA". It matches the Rfam family "Bacterial small subunit ribosomal RNA", at positions 26 to 477 of the family's 1533-position model. The record is from RNAcentral.